RNAcentral lists this ribosomal RNA (521 nucleotides) under uncultured Glomus. RNAcentral describes it as "SSU rRNA". It matches the Rfam family "Eukaryotic small subunit ribosomal RNA", at positions 569 to 1092 of the family's 1831-position model. Lineage: Eukaryota; Fungi; Glomeromycota; Glomeromycetes; Glomerales; Glomeraceae. The record is from RNAcentral.
AGCAGCCGCGGUAAUUCCAGCUCCAAUAGCGUAUAUUAAAGUUGUUGCAGUUAAAAAGCUCGUAGUUGAAUUUCGGGACCAAUAUGUCGGUCGUGCCUCGGUACGUACUGGUGUCAUUGGUUUCUCCCUUCUGAGGAUCCUUGAUGUCAUUAAUUUGGUGUCUUGGGGAAUCAGGACUGUUACCUUGAAAAAAUUAGAGUGUUUAAAGCAGGCAUACGCUUGAAUACAUUAGCAUGGAAUAAUGAAAUAGGACGUUUGAUUCUAUUUUGUUGGUUUCUAGGAUUGACGUAAUGAUUAAUAGGGAUAGUUGGGGGCAUUAGUAUUCAAUUGUCAGAGGUGAAAUUCUUGGAUUUAUUGAAGACUAACUACUGCGAAAGCAUUUGCCAAGGAUGUUUUCAUUAAUCAAGAACGAAAGUUAGGGGAUCGAAGACGAUCAGAUACCGUCGUAGUCUUAACCAUAAACUAUGCCGACUAGGGAUCGGAUGAUGUUAAUUUUUUAAUGACUCAUUCGGCGCCUUACG